This 832-nucleotide ribosomal RNA is filed under the name Chlorophyllum levantinum. Its description in RNAcentral is "partial large subunit ribosomal RNA". It matches the Rfam family "Eukaryotic large subunit ribosomal RNA", at positions 98 to 917 of the family's 3401-position model. Lineage: Eukaryota; Fungi; Basidiomycota; Agaricomycetes; Agaricales; Agaricaceae. The record is from RNAcentral.
GCGGGAAAAGCUCAAAUUUAAAAUCUGGCGGUCUCUGGCCGUCCGAGUUGUAAUCUAGAGAAGUAAUGCCCGCGCUGGACCGUGUACAAGUCUCCUGGGAUGGAGCAUCAUAGAGGGUGAGAAUCCCGUCUCUGACACGGACUACCAGGGCUUUGUGGUAUGCUCUCAAAGAGUCGAGUUGUUUGGGAAUGCAGCUCAAAAUGGGUGGUAAAUUCCAUCUAAAGCUAAAUAUUGGCGAGAGACCGAUAGCGAACAAGUACCGUGAGGGAAAGAUGAAAAGAACUUUGGAAAGAGAGUUAAACAGUACGUGAAAUUGCUGAAAGGGAAACGCUUGAAGUCAGUCGCGUUGGCCAGGAAUCAGCCUCGCUUUUGCGUGGUGUACUUUCUGGUUGAUGGGUCAGCAUCAAUUUUGACCACUGGAAAAAGGCCUGGGGAAUGUGGCAGCUUCGGCUGUGUUAUAGCCCCUGGUUGCAUACAGUGGUUGGGAUUGAGGAACUCAGCACGCCGCAAGGCCGGGUUUCGACCACGUUCGUGCUUAGGAUGCUGGCAUAAUGGCUUUAAGCGACCCGUCUUGAAACACGGACCAAGGAGUCUAACAUGCCUGCGAGUAUUUGGGUGAAAAACCCGAGUGCGUAAUGAAAGUGAAAGUUGAGAUCCCUGUCGUGGGGAGCAUCGACGCCCGGACCAGAACUUUUGGGACGGAUCCGCGGUAGAGCAUGUAUGUUGGGACCCGAAAGAUGGUGAACUAUGCCUGAAUAGGGUGAAGCCAGAGGAAACUCUGGUGGAGGCUCGUAGCGAUUCUGACGUGCAAAUCGAUCGUCAAAUUUGGGUA